Molecule: ribosomal RNA, 530 nt
Filed under: uncultured bacterium
Lineage: Bacteria
Description: partial 16S ribosomal RNA
Rfam family: Bacterial small subunit ribosomal RNA
Source: RNAcentral
UGGGGAAUAUUGCACAAUGGGCGCAAGCCUGAUGCAGCGACGCCGCGUGAGGGAUGACGGCCUUCGGGUUGUAAACCUCUUUCAGCAGGGACGAAGCGCGAGUGACGGUACCUGCAGAAGAAGCACCGGCCAACUACGUGCCAGCAGCCGCGGUAAUACGUAGGGUGCGAGCGUUGUCCGGAAUUACUGGGCGUAAAGAGCUCGUAGGCGGUUUGUCGCGUCGUCUGUGAAAUUCUGCAGCUUAACUGCAGGCGUGCAGGCGAUACGGGCAGACUUGAGUACUACAGGGGAGACUGGAAUUCCUGGUGUAGCGGUGAAAUGCGCAGAUAUCAGGAGGAACACCGGUGGCGAAGGCGGGUCUCUGGGUAGUAACUGACGCUGAGGAGCGAAAGCGUGGGUAGCGAACAGGAUUAGAUACCCUGGUAGUCCACGCCGUAAACGGUGGGUACUAGGUGUGGGUUCCAUUUCACGGGAUCCGUGCCGUAGCUAACGCAUUAAGUACCCCGCCUGGGGAGUACGGCCGCAAGGCU